This 253-nucleotide ribosomal RNA is filed under the name uncultured bacterium. RNAcentral describes it as "partial 16S ribosomal RNA". It matches the Rfam family "Bacterial small subunit ribosomal RNA", at positions 524 to 776 of the family's 1533-position model. The record is from RNAcentral.
UACGAAGGGGGCUAGCGUUGCUCGGAAUUACUGGGCGUAAAGGGAGCGUAGGCGGAUAGUUUAGUCAGAGGUGAAAGCCCAGGGCUCAACCUUGGAAUUGCCGUUGAUACUGGCUAUCUUGAGUACGGAAGAGGUAUGUGGAACUCCGAGUGUAGAGGUGAAAUUCGUAGAUAUUCGGAAGAACACCAGUGGCGAAGGCGACAUACUGGUCCGUUACUGACGCUGAGGCUCGAAAGCGUGGGGAGCAAACAGG